This 436-nucleotide long non-coding RNA is filed under the name Physcomitrium patens. Its description in RNAcentral is "long non-coding RNA (PPAT_LNC012994)". The record is from RNAcentral. Lineage: Eukaryota; Viridiplantae; Streptophyta; Bryopsida; Funariales; Funariaceae.
AGCCUUGCUUGAGAAUGCAGUAAACACUUAGUAAUAGAAAGUAGAAGGAAAAUUGUAACAACAUGAUUCUAAUUGUGAUAGAAUCCUAAAUAACUCCAAUUAAAUCUUAACAACAUUAAUCAAGUAGUAAUCAAAUACAAAGAAUCUUUAAAGAAAUUACAAAAGAAGCAUGAAGAAAUCCUAAAGAAAUUCAAAGAAAGUAUUAAAAUAAUAUUUUUAAUAUAUUUUAAAUAAAUCUUAAUUAAAUCUUAAUUUAAUCCUUGAUAAAAUUCUAAUAACUCUUUAUUAAAUCCUAAAUCAAAUCCUAACUAAAUCCUAAAUAAUCUUAAAUCCUAAAAAAAUCUAAAUCCUAACCAAUCUCCAAAUCCUAAAUCAAAUCUUAAUCAAAUUAACUUAAUCUUAAGAUAGUUUAGAACCUCAAUAUCUAUUGAUUUUA